UGUGUUGCUUACCCACGGAAAGGAAUUCGACCGUACGGUUUCCCCACUCCGCCCGACGCCCUCCGUGGGCGUGGGGCGGACGCCAGGCACGCUACGCGUUCCUCGCCGGCCUUUGCGUUGCCCGCAAAGCGCCGUCGAGGCCCGCGGAGCCGUCGCCCGUUCUCUCGGAUGCGGAAUGUCGAGCGCGGGCGCGGGGGUCUCGUCCUCCGUCGUUCGCCCGAGCGACGCUCUUGUCCCUUGACCCUAAACGAACGAACGAUCGCCCCGGCCGUCUCGAACGCGCCGUAGCCCCCGUGCUUCGACGCGGCCCGUGCGGCCGUCGGGCGUCGUCGAGGAACGCUACCUGGUUGAUCCUGCCAGUAGUCAU
RNAcentral lists this unclassified non-coding RNA (367 nucleotides) under Loxopterygium grisebachii. RNAcentral describes it as "partial external transcribed spacer". The record is from RNAcentral. Lineage: Eukaryota; Viridiplantae; Streptophyta; Magnoliopsida; Sapindales; Anacardiaceae.